RNAcentral lists this long non-coding RNA (1774 nucleotides) under Erythranthe guttata (spotted monkey flower). RNAcentral describes it as "long non-coding RNA (EGUT_LNC000680)". Lineage: Eukaryota; Viridiplantae; Streptophyta; Magnoliopsida; Lamiales; Phrymaceae. The record is from RNAcentral.
AUGGAGAAAAAAACACAUCCAUCUUGAAAGCACACACAAUAUCUUUCACCAUAAAGGUGGCUUGGCUCGAGUUUGGCAUCAACCCUUGAAGCCUCUCUAUUUUGUUUGUUCUUCAUUUUUCCUCUUGGUAAUUUAAGUAAGAAAUUUCGAGUUUCUUGCUGCAAUUAGAAGAUAUCAUAUUAUUUUAAAAGAGUUUUGAAGAUUACCUAAAAGAUUUCUAAAGAUUUCGAAAUUUGGGGAUUUUUGGGGAAAAAAUGAAAUAGUGUGUUUAUCUUUAAUCUCCUCUUCUUACGUGUUUAAUCUAUAUUUAAAAUCUGUAGGUACUACUAUUUAUUGACUAAAGAUUUGAAGAUUUCGAGAUUUCAAAGAUUUUACAAGAAAAAUAGAGUUUUUCAUUUCUAAUGGCUUGCAUGUACAAAUCUAAAAGGUUUAAGGGCUAAACUGUAAAUUUUUGAAACUUCCAGCUUUUAAUAAGUUUUGAACUUUUAUCUCCAGUAGAUCAAUAGUAAGAAAUGAUUUGAUUGAGGGGUUUUCAACGAUUUAUUGAAUACUUGUAAGAAAAAUCAAUUUUUGGGUAAAGAAAUGACUUUUCUAGCUAUUUUUAUUUGAAAAUUUAUAAAUUUGUAAAAUAGUUUCAGAGUCUCGAAAUUUACAUAAUUCGAAGUCUCAGGAUUAAAUUUGAGAAUUUUUAAAGAUCAUUUACUAUUAUUUCGAAUUUUAAGGGUUUAUGUGCUAAUUAUGAAGUUCUUGUGUUUUAAUUUCUAUGUCUUGGAAUUGUGUAAUUUAAAUUAUAAGACAUGAGAUUAUGAACAUGGAUUUACAGCGGAGACAUGUUUAUGAGGCUGCUGGAAUUUAUUAAGUGAAAUCAAUGAGAGGAAAUGGUAAGAAAUUCAUUAAAUGAUGGAAUAAAAGUCUAUUUACUUUAAAAUCAUGAUUCUGCUAUUUAUUAUGCAUGUUUAUGAUGAUGGUUGCAUGGAAUAAAUAUACAUAUGUGUGAUGUGUGUAUGUGCGUAUGUGAGCGGUGUGUGUAUGGGGAUGAUAUAUGUGUUGGUUUAAUUGUGUAAUUAAGUAGUUGAUAAUUUUUAUGUGAUUGGGUUGAUGCUCACUUGAUUGAUAUUUGUGAUGUUUAAAUGAUUUUUAAAAAAAUUGAUGUCAUUCCAUGACAUGCAUUGUUUUGACAAAAUUGAAAUAUUAAUGGAAUGUUUCGGUAAUAAACAAAUCGGAUACGGUGGGCCGGUAUCCAACUAGGGCUGAGAGGAGUGAUACGAGUGAUAUGAGUAAUAUUGGAUCCAUAGACGGGCUCGAAACGGUUUAUUAUCCAAAUAUAUAAAUUAUUCUUUCACAUAUCCGAUAAAGGAAAAAAUGGACUUUUACACGGAUUGCAUUCAUGAGCAUUUUUAUGACUUGUAUGUUUUAUUUGGUUUUUGUGUGAUGUUUGUAUGACUCGAUGAAGGUGAUUGAAAUAUUAUAUAUAUGUAUAACCUAUUUUCAACCCUCGGUAUUCUUACUGAGCUUAUUAGCUCAUAUAAAUAUUUCUAAUUGCAGGUAGUGCUUGUGGUAACCCUCCCCCGGAAUGGACCGAAUAGUGGAUCGAUGUCUUGCCCGGAAUUUUUGGAAGUUUGAACGAGGGUUCUAUAAAUGUGGCUAAAUACUGUUACGUGAUGUAAUCUAAGAUAAUUUUCGUUUUCAUUUAUACUAUCUUACUCGUGUUUAAAGGAUGGGACUUUAAUCGGUAAUGGAUCCUAUUUUGAACUUAAUAAUAUAUUGAUCCGCU